Arachis ipaensis is the source of this 1580-nucleotide non-coding RNA. NCBI's taxonomy places the organism in Eukaryota, Viridiplantae, Streptophyta, Magnoliopsida, Fabales, Fabaceae. The record is from RefSeq and is a predicted model, not a curated record.
GAAAACCCACCCACUCGACGCGAGUUACUCCCUUCACCCCACCAAAACACACCCUCCUUUGAAAGACAACACAGAACACACAGCAAGAGCAAGCCCUAGCUCCUUCCCAACCCAAAAAUCAAGCUUCUUGGACGGAACCGCCUCCGCCGUUCGUCUGUGUCGGCGUCUCCGUGGCCUCUUCCUUCUCCUUCUCCAUGGCGUCUCCCCUUUCUAGUUCGGCACGUCUUCCAUUCACAGGUGAAAUCGCUGCUCGAGGCCUUCAGCUGUUGCGCCGUGGUGUCGCUGUCGUCCCGCCGUCGUCUUCCGCUGUCAGUGGAAGGUUAGUGAAACUGUGAUUUACUGAUUUGAGGUUAGUGAAAAGUUGAGUCUGUUACUCUGUUUUAAGGAUUUGAGGUUGAAUUUGUGAUUUGUGAUUUCUUGGGUCUUUUGUAAUGCUGUUGAUUUGAGUUUGGAAUUUAUGAUUACUGACUAGUGACUUGUUAAGCUGCUGUUUUGUUAUUGCACUGAGUGUUUUAAAUUUGGAAUUUGUGACAAGUGAUUUGUGAUUUGUGAUUGGUGAUUUUGUUAUGCUGCUGUUUUGAUGGCUCUGUUUUGUAAUUGUUAGUUGCUGAUAGCUUUGAAAUUUUUGUUCAAAUUUACUGAUGGCUCUGUUUUGUAAUUACUAGUUGCUGAUGACUCUGAAAUAUGAGGGGGUUGUAACUUUAGUUAAAUCAACACUAAUUUAAUGGCCACUUUAAUUUCUUAAGAAAAUCCUUCUCUCAUUCACUUUUUAGAUUUUGUACUAUGUCUAAAUCUGGAGAAUUUGUAAAUUUUUGUGCCUUGCAAAUAAAUGAAUGAUGAUGCAGGUAACAUGAAAGACAAAUUUUUUCGGAUGUAGGUGAAGAUAUAGAUGAGAUGUAUGAUGAAUUGUUUAAAAUUUAUGGAAAAGUGGUAUUUAAAAGGAAAGAUCAAAAGCCUGCUACUGUAGAGGUUGAUGAUGAUGCCGAAAGCCUAUCGUGUUUCUUCUUGUAUUUUGAUAAAGAUCAUAUGGAAAUAAAAUCAAAUGCUGGUUGUUGCUGAAUGAGUGGGGUAGCUACCUGUUAAUGCCAUAUAUAAAUAAACUGAUGAAUGAUGAUGAUGGUAGUAGAAGGAGAGUCAAAGUGUAUAGGUAGUUGGUGAUAUGUUAUGCUUUCUUAUUCAAUGACUACUUGUUAUGUUGAUACCUCAACUUGGAAACAACACUAGAUCCCGUUUAUAGCUUGCUCAGCAAGAAGAAUCUGUUGCUAAGAGAGCUCUCUUACAACAGAUGAUUGCAACGUUGCCUAAGAUUAAACCGAAAAGGUCAUCUUGCAAGGUUCAGGUUCAUGUUCAGUUAGCAUAAUACCACAGAAUGAUCAACAUUUUUCUAACUGGACUAGCUCAACAUUCUGUUGAAAUUGAUAAUCCUUUGUCUCCUGACAUUUCUAAAUUAGAAUCUGAGGUGUUAAGUGAUCCUGUUAACCCUUAAAGUCAAAAUUUAAUAUUUAGAUAUUUUUUUUACUAUUUAACCUUUGAGUUUGUAUUUGGAUAAGAUCAUAUGAAUUUGGUUGAUGAUUUUUUGU